CCUACGGGAGGCAGCAGUGGGGAAUAUUGGACAAUGGGCGAAAGCCUGAUCCAGCCAUGCCGCGUGAGUGACGAAGGCCUUAGGGUUGUAAAGCUCUUUUGGCGGGGACGAUAAUGACGGUACCCGCAGAAUAAGCCCCGGCUAACUUCGUGCCAGCAGCCGCGGUAAUACGGAGGGGGCUAGCGUUGUUCAGAAUUACUGGGCGUAAAGGGCGCGUAGGCGGCCUGCCAAGUCAGGGGUGAAAGGCCCGGGCUCAACCCGGGAACUGCCCUUGAAACUGGCAAGCUAGAGUCCGAGAGAGGAUGGCGGAAUUCCCAGUGUAGAGGUGAAAUUCGUAGAUAUUGGGAAGAACACCGGUGGCGAAGGCGGCCAUCUGGCUCGGCACUGACGCUGAGGCGCGAAAGCGUGGGGAGCAAACAGGAUUAGAUACCCCGGUAGUCCUAGCUGUAAACGAUGGGUACUAGGUGUAGGGGGUAUCGAUCCCCCCUGUGUCGCAGCUAACGCAUUAAGUACCCCGCCUGGGGAGUACGGUCGCAAGGCUGAAACUCAAAUGAAUUGACGG
RNAcentral lists this ribosomal RNA (562 nucleotides) under uncultured Alphaproteobacteria bacterium. RNAcentral describes it as "bacterial SSU rRNA". It matches the Rfam family "Bacterial small subunit ribosomal RNA", at positions 338 to 916 of the family's 1533-position model. Lineage: Bacteria; Pseudomonadati; Pseudomonadota; Alphaproteobacteria. The record is from RNAcentral.